UACGGAGGGUGCGAGCGUUGUCCGGAAUCACUGGGCGUAAAGGGCGCGUAGGCGGCGCGGGCAGUCAACGGUGAAAGCUCGGGGCUCAACUCCGAGUCGGCCGUCGAUACUCCCGGGCUGGAGCAUGGUAGAGGCAGGUGGAAUUCCGGGAGUAGCGGUGGAAUGCGUAGAGAUCCGGAAGAACACCGGUGGCGAAGGCGGCCUGCUGGGCCAUGACUGACGCUGAGGCGCGACAGCGUGGGGAGCAAACAGG
RNAcentral lists this ribosomal RNA (253 nucleotides) under uncultured bacterium. Its description in RNAcentral is "partial 16S ribosomal RNA". It matches the Rfam family "Bacterial small subunit ribosomal RNA", at positions 524 to 776 of the family's 1533-position model. The record is from RNAcentral.